ACGGGGCGCGGUGGCUCAAGCCUGUAAUCCCAGCUACUCAGGAGGCUGAGGCAGGAGAAUCGCUUGAACCCGGGAGGCAGAGGUUGCAGUGAGCCAAGAUCACACCACUGCACUCCAAACUGGACAGCAGAGUGAGACNNNNNNNNNNGUCUCACUCUGCUGUCCAGUUUGGAGUGCAGUGGUGUGAUCUCGGCUCACUGCAACCUCUGCCUCCCGGGUUCAAGCGAUUCUCCUGCCUCAG
Molecule: signal recognition particle RNA, 241 nt
Filed under: Chlorocebus sabaeus (green monkey)
Lineage: Eukaryota; Metazoa; Chordata; Mammalia; Primates; Cercopithecidae
Description: Metazoan signal recognition particle RNA
Rfam family: Metazoan signal recognition particle RNA
About the family: The signal recognition particle (SRP) is a universally conserved ribonucleoprotein.
Source: Rfam by way of RNAcentral